This 75-nucleotide transfer RNA is filed under the name Strongyloides venezuelensis. It matches the Rfam family "tRNA", at positions 18 to 71 of the family's 71-position model. Rfam says of the family: Transfer RNA (tRNA) molecules are approximately 80 nucleotides in length. Their secondary structure includes four short double-helical elements and three loops (D, anti-codon, and T loops). Further hydrogen bonds mediate the characteristic L-shaped molecular structure. tRNAs have two regions of fundamental functional importance: the anti-codon, which is responsible for specific mRNA codon recognition, and the 3' end, to which the tRNAs corresponding amino acid is attached (by aminoacyl-tRNA synthetases). tRNAs cope with the degeneracy of the genetic code in two manners: having more than one tRNA (with a specific anti-codon) for a particular amino acid; and 'wobble' base-pairing, i.e. permitting non-standard base-pairing at the 3rd anti-codon position. Lineage: Eukaryota; Metazoa; Nematoda; Chromadorea; Rhabditida; Strongyloididae. The record is from Rfam by way of RNAcentral.
GUUUUCUUUCUGAGUGAGGGGCAGAGCGUCUGUCUAGUAAACAGAAGGUCGCUGGUUCGAUUCCAGCAUGAGGCA